GAUGAACGCUGGCGGCGUGCCUAAUACAUGCAAGUCGAGCGAACAGAUGAGGAGCUUGCUCCUCUGACGUUAGCGGCGGACGGGUGAGUAACACGUGGAUAACCUACCUAUAAGACUGGGAUAACUUCGGGAAACCGGAGCUAAUACCGGAUAAUAUAUUGAACCGCAUGGUUCAAUAGUGAAAGACGGUUUUGCUGUCACUUAUAGAUGGAUCCGCGCCGCAUUAGCUAGUUGGUAAGGUAACGGCUUACCAAGGCAACGAUGCGUAGCCGACCUGAGAGGGUGAUCGGCCACACUGGAACUGAGACACGGUCCAGACUCCUACGGGAGGCGGCAGUAGGGAAUCUUCCGCAAUGGGCGAAAGCCUGACGGAGCAACGCCGCGUGAGUGAUGAAGGUCUUCGGAUCGUAAAACUCUGUUAUUAGGGAAGAACAAAUGUGUAAGUAACUAUGCACGUCUUGACGGUACCUAAUCAGAAAGCCACGGCUAACUACGUGCCAGCAGCCGCGGUAAUACGUAGGGCGCGAGCGUUGUCCGGAAUUAUUGGGCGUAAAGGGCUUGUAGGCGGUUGGUCGCGUCUGCCGUGAAAUCCUCUGGCUUAACUGGGGGCGUGCGGUGGGUACGGGCUGACUUGAGUGCGGUAGGGGAGACUGGAACUCCUGGUGUAGCGGUGGAAUGCGCAGAUAUCAGGAAGAACACCGGUGGCGAAGGCGGGUCUCUGGGCCGUUACUGACGCUGAGGAGCGAAAGCGUGGGGAGCGAACAGGAUUAGAUACCCUGGUAGUCCACGCUGUAAACGUUGGGCACUAGGUGUGGGGGCCACCCGUGGUUUCUGCGCCGUAGCUAACGCUUUAAGUGCCCCGCCUGGGGAGUACGGCCGCAAGGCUAAAACUCAAAGGAAUUGACGGGGGCCCGCACAAGCGGCGGAGCAUGCGGAUUAAUUCGAUGCAACGCGAAGAACCUUACCAAGGCUUGACAUGCACGGCGGCACUGCAGAGAUGUGGUGGCAUUUAGUUGGUCGUGUGCAGGUGGUGCAUGGUUGUCGUCAGCUCGUGUCGUGAGAUGUUGGGUUAAGUCCCGCAACGAGCGCAACCCUUGCCCUAUGUUGCCAGCACGUGAUGGUGGGGACUCGUGGGGGACUGCCGGGGUUAACUCGGAGGAAGGUGGGGAUGACGUCAAAUCAUCAUGCCCCUUAUGUCUUGGGCUUCACGCAUGCUACAAUGGCUGGUACAGAGGGUUGCGAUACUGUGAGGUGGAGCGAAUCCCUUAAAGCCAGUCUCAGUUCGGAUUGGGGUCUGCAACUCGACCCCAUGAAGGUGGAGUCGCUAGUAAUCGCAGAUCAGCAACGCUGCGGUGAAUACGUUCUCGGGCCU
Molecule: ribosomal RNA, 1372 nt
Filed under: uncultured bacterium
Lineage: Bacteria
Description: partial 16S ribosomal RNA
Rfam family: Bacterial small subunit ribosomal RNA
Source: RNAcentral